GAUGAACGCUAGCGGCAGGCUUAACACAUGCAAGUCGAGGGGUAACAGGGAAGAGCUUGCUUUUCCGCUGACGACCGGCGCACGGGUGAGUAACGCGUAUAGAACCUACCUUUUACAGGGGAAUAGCCCAGAGAAAUUUGGAUUAAUGCCCUAUAGUAUUAUUGAAUGGCAUCAUUUAGUAAUUAAACAUUUAUGGGUAAAAGAUGGCUAUGCGUUCUAUUAGCUAGAUGGUAAGGUAACGGCUUACCAUGGCAACGAUAGAUAGGGGUCCUGAGAGGGAGAUCCCCCACACUGGUACUGAGACACGGACCAGACUCCUACGGGAGGCAGCAGUGAGGAAUAUUGGACAAUGGAGGCAACUCUGAUCCAGCCAUGCCGCGUGCAGGAAGACGGCCCUAUGGGUUGUAAACUGCUUUUAUACGGGAAGAAACCCAACUACGUGUAGUUGGCUGACGGUACCGUAAGAAUAAGCACCGGCUAACUCCGUGCCAGCAGCCGCGGUAAUACGGAGGGUGCAAGCGUUAUCCGGAAUCAUUGGGUUUAAAGGGUCCGUAGGCGGGCUAAUAAGUCAGGGGUGAAAUCCAACAGCUUAACUGUUGAACUGCCUUUGAUACUGUUAGUCUUGAAUUAUAUGGAAGUAGAUAGAAUGUGUAGUGUAGCGGUGAAAUGCUUAGAGAUUACACAGAAUACCGAUUGCGAAGGCAGUCUACUACGUAUAUA
Molecule: ribosomal RNA, 720 nt
Filed under: Lutibacter sp.
Lineage: Bacteria; Pseudomonadati; Bacteroidota; Flavobacteriia; Flavobacteriales; Flavobacteriaceae
Description: bacterial SSU rRNA
Rfam family: Bacterial small subunit ribosomal RNA
Source: RNAcentral